UCACACUCACCCACUCACUGAUCCUUCUUCUCGGUUCUCUCUCCCUCUCUGUCUCUGCACUCCCACAACCACACUCUUUCUCUCUUGCUUUUCUUCUCCGACUUUUCAUAUCGUUUACCACACUAACGCCCAUCAUCGCCAUCAUCUCUGAUAACUUGGGCCAUUAGCACCUUACUCUACUGAGUUAUGAUUGACUUAUGUUGCUCAACAUCCCUUGACUCUUGCCUUCUUACACGAGUUUCCAUUUCGACUUGGGCGUCGCGAGAGAAGCAUUGACACCCACUCGAAACUCAGUUUCUCAAUACCCUAGCCUUCGUCCUCUUUCCUGCUUAAUUCAAGGGAAUCUCAAGAAAAACCCUAAAUUAGCUCACUCAUUUCUAUGGCUUGAUUAGACUCGAUUUGAGAAGCCCUCGAUUGCACUCUUACUUUGGUAGGAUAAUUAGUGGGUCUAAUUAGUAACUCUUACUGGGUAUUGGUUUGUAGGAUGUCGACAAUUGGGGCUCGCCACGCCGUUCUCGAGGCCACAAUCUUGUGGCCCCCCUUUUGUCUCAGAGCAUCCUCGAGUUCUAGGAUCUUUCUUCACUUCCGAUCCUUCCAAUGCCAUUGGUGGCGCCUCCCCUGCUCUUCAAGACCCACCCUAGUUUUCCAUAGAAGCAUCCCAGUGGAAGUUAUGGCGCAAAAGUUCCCACAAGUAUUGGCCUCGCUUUAUUGAAACUAGUGGAAGCCAUGGGUAGACCAUUUAGAAGGGAAAUUUAGGCAGCUAUGGAAGGAACUAGAAAUUUACGCUUUCAUCAAGGUGACCUGCGUAGCUCCAGACAUGGACUGGGGUCUAUUGCUUGCCCUUUUUGACUUUAUGGAGCUAGUCCAUCGACGCCUUUGUCUUGCCGUGUGGGUUCCUCUCAAUGACCCAAAGACUUGAGUUACUUGACCGACCUCCUAGUCAUAGGAGAGCCUAUUGAACCUUCCAAUAGGGAUAAGGUUGAGGGGCUGAUGAAGUCAUACUCGAGUACCCAGAAUCCCUAGCCACAAGUAUUCUUAACGCCUUCCUGGAACAAGAAUUCAAGCAAGAUGACUCUGAGCCAACUAUCUAUGAACACAUAUCAUUCUUGUACUUUAUAAUGUGCAACUUCCUCCGCCUCCUUGCUAGCAGCCAGAUGGUGAAAGAUGUGUUCUACAUCAGGCAGAAGCUUUCAGCUUGAUAGAUGGUGGCUUUGGUCCCUUAUGCCCUCGCCUUUCUUUAUUAAGGCUGCCAGACUGUGGCUGAAAAACACAUUCCCCAAGCCAUCAAGGCUAAUGUGGCUUUUGCAGUCGUAGUCCUUCACAUACUUUCCAUCCCUCUACUCAUAACUUGAUUUAUCAGCCCUAGCCCUUGUAAACCUUCCUUGCUAUGGCCUCAAGUUCAAGCACCUAACUAAGGUUCAGACGCUCUAUGAGAAGCCUUCGAAGUAGUGUUUAAGUUUAAAGCCAGAGACCUUCGAGUUCUAACCCCUAAAGAUUAGGGACUGUUGGUCCUGACUUAAGGCCAACUUCACCUUUUUUUUUUGUUUUAAAGUUUUUUUAGUUUUCAGAAAUAAUUUAUUAUUAAAAAAAUAUAGUGAGUCUCACUCGAUCAUUCAUUAUGAUCCAUGUGAUAUUAGUAAUACACGUCGAUCAUUUCCGUUUAAAUUAACGAAAAAGUUGACGCCGUACUAGAAUUGUUAUCAAAUCAAUAGUUUGUACAUUUUUUUGGUUAAAGAAUAAAAAUUCGUAUUAAAAUUUUUUAUAAUAAAAUUAUUAAAAUAUAGAAAAGUUUGUAAUUUUUUUGAUUAUUAACAAUUCUUUUUAUAUAAACAUAGGAUCUUUUCCUUCCCCAUCGCUCCUUAACCCUCCCUUCCGCUCCUCUACAGCCCUCCUUCAUUUUGAAGCUACGCACAAACUACAGGGAGCAAAUGAAGAAUAAUCCGAACACGAAGGACGGUCUCUUUCCUUCGCUGUUCACUGUUGAGUUCAAUACUUCAAUCACAAGUCGCUCUCUGGACUGGCACUGCAAAGAAGCUCGACAAUAGCCAUGGCCUCCAUUGCCUCCAAGUUCAGGUCCUCCGCUCUCAUCUCAUGGAAAUCGACGGGGAAGUUGCAGCAAACCCUGGCCGGUUGCAUUGAGAGGACCGGCGUCGCCCUUCACUCGGGAAAGGUCUCCACGGUGAAGAUAUGGCCACACUUCGCCGGUGAGGGGCGGUGGUUCGACUUCCGCUCCAACCUGAUACCUGCGUCCAUCGAUUUCGUGGAGCAAUCGCCUCUUUGCACCACGCUCUUGAAGGACGGGCUCAGAAUACGCACUGUCGAGCAUCUGCUAUCAGCUCUCGAAGCCUCUGGGGUCGAUAACUGCAGGAUCGAGAUUGAUAAUUUGGACGGUGAAGAUAAGGAUGUCGAGGUCCCAAUUUUUGACGGCUCGGCAAGGGAAUGGGUGGAAGCGAUUGAGAAAGUUGGUCUGGAGAUAGCGAAAGAUAGUCGUGGAAAUGAUUGUGAAAAAAUAGCUCCAUAUUUGAAUGAACCUGUGCAUUUCUGGCAUAUUGAUUCUUUUGUGGUCGCAUUUCCAUCACCUAAAGUUCACGUCACUUUUGGAAUUGAUUUUCCUCAGGUGCCUGCUGUUGGUUGCCAGUGGUUUUCCUCAUCCCUUAGUGAUGACUCUGUGUACAAGAGGCAAAUUGCUCCUGCACGUACUUUUUGCAUUUACGAGGAGGUGGAGAAAAUGCGAAAUGCUGGACUGAUAAAAGGUGGUUCUUUAGAGAAUGCCUUAGUUUGCAGUAUGGGCAAAGGUUGGUUGAAUCCACCACUGCGAUUUAAUGAUGAACCCGCUCGCCAUAAGGCCUUAGAUCUAAUUGGAGAUCUCUCUGUUUUUGCAAGAUCUGGUAGUCAGGGCCUUCCAGUGGCACAUAUAGUGGCCUACAAGAGUGGGCAUGCACUGCAUGCUGAUUUUGUACGGCAAAUUUCAUCAUAGUUUAUCAGAAGAGAAGACGGGCAGGAUUAAUGCUGCAAGAUGUCCAACGGUUCAAGGACUAAAAGCCCUGGUCAUCUCAUAUGUGGUGAGGAUCAUCAUAUUUGGGAGUAUCAGUGCUGCAUUUGCAGAAAAUGGAUUCAGUGCUCAUGAUUGCUUUUGUGAAUGGAUGUGAACUGGGUCUUUCCUCUUUAGCUAGCUUUGGCUUCGGUUGUUUAGGUCCUUGCAGGCCUCCUGGUUUCAGCUGAUUGUAUGCCUACUGCUAACCUUGAUGAGAUCUGUACUAAUAUGGUCGGGGGGAAGCAGGAGUUUGUGGGGGCCUCUAUUCAGCUAUCCUUAAGCACAAGUAUUUGAUCAAUCGAAGACUGAUAGAAUGAUCGUUCAGCCUGGACAAUCGAGGCUUUUGUUCUAGUGGAAUGAAUUUAUCGGAAGAUUUUCCGUAAGGUCUUUGAAAGAAACUAAGAAUUGGCGGCACGAAGAGACGAGAGGUGCUCUGUAUGCUGUGAGAAAUUUUAUUAGGGCACCACUGAUUCAGCUCAAUCUCCACCAUGGAGAUUCUUUAGUGUGAACAGCAUUCUAGUAGUAUCUUAUCAUUUGCACAAAAUAAAGUGAGCAAUCAGCGAAGAGGCGAAAGAAUGUUUAAGAGACAGAUCAGAUGACCAGUGGCAACUCGAGGAACAGGCUGUGGGAACAAUAGGGAGAAAUCACUGUGAAGGAAUGCCCCAGGAUACGCGGUAUAAUCUGCAUUAAGAAAACAGUCAGUAAUCUGAAUCUAAGGUGGUAGAUGAAGGGGAGGAAGAUGAGUUGCGAGAAAAUAUUGUUCUGAGUGCUGCUGCUGAAUACACUAUUCUCCUUUCGGUUUGUCUAACCAGCUGGGAACUCGGUCAUUGUUUCGAGCUAUAGUAUGUCUUGUCUGAUGUUCUUUAUCCGGAAUAGGUAUUCAGUAUUCUCGUUGUUUGGACUUUGCUAGCAUGUUGUAGUAAGGAGAACCCCCGAUUAAGUCCUGAUUAGUUGAUCGGAGUCCAUUUCCCGAAGAUUUGUGGAAGAACAAGGUAAAACUUGAGCAUGGCAGAGGCUGGUCGGUCUUGAUUCGAGCCCUCUAGUACGGACCAUGCCACCCAUACCUCUCUUCUACUAAAGGAAAAUCGGCCUUUUUGUGCACCUUAUGCUAGAAUCUUGCUAAAACGGUUGUUUAUGUGAACAAUAUCAUGUUGUUCUAGACCAUGAUUACGAUGUUUAUGCAGUGUGUAUAUGCUAGGAUUAGCUUAAUCGUGUCAAAUAUGCUCGACUUUACUUGAUUAGUGCUUAAUUAAGAUUAA
Molecule: non-coding RNA, 4293 nt
Organism: Punica granatum (pomegranate)
Lineage: Eukaryota; Viridiplantae; Streptophyta; Magnoliopsida; Myrtales; Lythraceae
Source: RefSeq, a predicted model, not a curated record